This 503-nucleotide ribosomal RNA is filed under the name uncultured bacterium. Its description in RNAcentral is "partial 16S ribosomal RNA". It matches the Rfam family "Bacterial small subunit ribosomal RNA", at positions 30 to 523 of the family's 1533-position model. The record is from RNAcentral.
AUUGAACGCUGGCGGCAGGCUUAACACAUGCAAGUCGAGCGGGGUGAUGGUGCUUGCACUAUCACUUAGCGGCGGACGGGUGAGUAAUGCUUAGGAAUCUGCCUAUUAGUGGGGGACAACAUCUCGAAAGGGAUGCUAAUACCGCAUACGUCCUACGGGAGAAAGCAGGGGAUCACUUGUGACCUUGCGCUAAUAGAUGAGCCUAAGUCGGAUUAGCUAGUUGGUGGGGUAAAGGCCUACCAAGGCGACGAUCUGUAGCGGGUCUGAGAGGCUGAUCCGCCAGACUGGGACUGGGACACGGCCCAGACUCCUACGGGAGGCAGCAGUGGGGAAUAUUGGACAAUGGGGGGAACCCUGAUCCAGCCAUGCCGCGUGUGUGAAGAAGGCCUUAUGGUUGUAAAGCACUUUAAGCGAGGAGGAGGCUCUUUUGGUUAAUACCCAGAAUGAGUGGACGUUACUCGCAGAAUAAGCACCGGCUAACUCUGUGCCAGCCGCCGCCGUAA